GAUGAAGAACGUAGCGAAAUGCGAUAAGUAGUGUGAAUUGCAGAAUUCAGUGAAUCAUCGAAUCUUUGAACGCACAUUGCGCCCCUUGGUAUUCCAUGGGGCAUGCCUGUUCGAGCGUCAUUUGUACCUUCAAGCUCUGCUUGGUGUUGGGUGUUUGUCUCGCCUCUGCGUGUAGACUCGCCUCAAAACAUUUGGCAGCCGGCGUAUUGAUUUCGGAGCGCAGUACAUCUCGCGCUUUGCACUCAUAACGACGACGUCCAAAAGUACAUUUUUACACUCUUGACCUCGGAUCAGGUAGGGAUACCCGCUGAACUUAAGCAUAUCAAUAAGCGGAGGA
RNAcentral lists this unclassified non-coding RNA (337 nucleotides) under soil metagenome. RNAcentral describes it as "partial contains 5.8S ribosomal RNA, internal transcribed spacer 2, and large subunit ribosomal RNA". The stretch from base 1 to 120 matches the Rfam family "5.8S ribosomal RNA", at positions 35 to 154 of the family's 154-position model. The record is from RNAcentral.